RNAcentral lists this ribosomal RNA (372 nucleotides) under uncultured bacterium. RNAcentral's name for it is "bacterial LSU rRNA". It matches the Rfam family "Bacterial large subunit ribosomal RNA", at positions 994 to 1373 of the family's 2925-position model. The record is from RNAcentral.
CGAGAUAAGUUGGGUGGUCAAAAGGGAAAGAGCCCAGACCUCCGGCUAAGGUCCCAAAGUGCGUGUUAAGUGGAAAAGGAUGUGGGAUUUCAAAGACAACCAGGAUGUUGGCUCAGAAGCAGCCAUCCAUUCAAAGAGUGCGUAAUAGCUCACUGGUCGAGAGGUCCUGCGCCGAAAAUGUCCGGGGCUGAAACACGACACCGAAGCCGAGGGAUCCGAAAGGAUCGGUAGAGGAGCAUUGCAUAAGGGAAGAAGCAGUACCGGAAGGAGCUGUGGACUUUAUGGAAGAGAGAAUGCCGGAAUGAGUAGCGAGAGAGAGGUGGGAAUCCUCUCGGCCGAAUAUCCAAGGUUUCCAGAGUAAAGCUGAUCUGC